RNAcentral lists this ribosomal RNA (195 nucleotides) under uncultured bacterium. RNAcentral's name for it is "partial 16S ribosomal RNA". It matches the Rfam family "Bacterial small subunit ribosomal RNA", at positions 338 to 524 of the family's 1533-position model. The record is from RNAcentral.
CCUACGGGAGGCAGCAGGGGGGGAUAUUGGACAAUGGGCGAAAGCCUGAUCCAGCCAUGCCGCGUGUGUGAAGAAGGCCUUUUGGUUGUAAAGCACUUUAAGCGAGGAGGAGGCUACUGAGAUUAAUACUCUUGGAUAGUGGACGUUACUCGCAGAAUAAGCACCGGCUAACUCUGUGCCAGCAGCCGCGGUAAU